This 468-nucleotide ribosomal RNA is filed under the name uncultured bacterium. RNAcentral's name for it is "partial 16S ribosomal RNA". It matches the Rfam family "Bacterial small subunit ribosomal RNA", at positions 28 to 507 of the family's 1533-position model. The record is from RNAcentral.
GACGAACGCUGGCGGCGUGCUUAACACAUGCAAGUCGAACGAUGAUGCCAGCUUGCUGGUGGAUUAGUGGCGAACGGGUGAGUAACACGUGAGCAACCUGCCCCUGACUUCGGGAUAACCGCGGGAAACCGUGGCUAAUACCGGUUAUGACGCGCUUUCUCAUGGUGGUGUUUGGAAAGAUUUAUCGGUUGGGGAUGGGCUCGCGGCCUAUCAGCUUGUUGGUGGGGUGAUGGCCUACCAAGGCGACGACGGGUAGCCGGCCUGAGAGGGUGACCGGCCACACUGGGAAGGAGACACGGAGCAGACACAAACGGGAGGGAGCAGUGGGGAAAAUUGCACAAGGGGCGAAAGCCUGAUGCAGCGAAGGAGCGUGAGGGAUGACGGCCUUCGGGUUGUAAACCAAUUUCAGUAGGGAAGAAGGCGUUCGGGUUGACGGUACCUGCAGAAGAAGCGCCGGCUAACUACGUG